Molecule: ribosomal RNA, 253 nt
Filed under: uncultured bacterium
Lineage: Bacteria
Description: partial 16S ribosomal RNA
Rfam family: Bacterial small subunit ribosomal RNA
Source: RNAcentral
UACGAAGGGGGCUAGCGUUGCUCGGAAUCACUGGGCGUAAAGGGUGCGUAGGUGGAUUCUUAAGUCAGAGGUGAAAUCCUGGAGCUCAACUCCAGAACUGCCUUUGAUACUGGGAGUCUUGAGUUCGGGAGAGGUGAGUGGAACUGCGAGUGUAGAGGUGAAAUUCGUAGAUAUUCGCAAGAACACCAGUGGCGAAGGCGGCUCACUGGCCCGAUACUGACACUGAGGCACGAAAGCGUGGGGAGCAAACAGG